RNAcentral lists this transfer RNA (72 nucleotides) under Phrynosoma platyrhinos (Desert horned lizard). Its description in RNAcentral is "tRNA-OTHER". It matches the Rfam family "tRNA". Rfam says of the family: Transfer RNA (tRNA) molecules are approximately 80 nucleotides in length. Their secondary structure includes four short double-helical elements and three loops (D, anti-codon, and T loops). The record is from RNAcentral. Lineage: Eukaryota; Metazoa; Chordata; Lepidosauria; Squamata; Phrynosomatidae.
GCCAGAGUGAUGUAGUGGUUUGAAUGUUGGACGAUGACUCUGGAGACCAGGGUUCGAAUCCCUGCUCAGCCA